ACUUAGCUGAGAAUCGUUUUUCGUUAGAAAUGGUUUAUCGUAUGCAAAUUAAAUUGUGCUCUAUAUUAUAACCUACCUGCUCAAAUUCUCGUCUGCAACAGGGGCUCAUCCGUCGUGCGAAGUAUUAUGUCCGUCUUUUUAUUCACACAUAUUGCACGGACGGGAUAACGGGUCCUUUACACCCGCGGGCCCGCCCCAGGGACGUGGCCGCUUUCCAUUUUAAGACGAAAUCGCCGGUACAUGCCUC
Molecule: non-coding RNA, 247 nt
Organism: Cinara cedri
Lineage: Eukaryota; Metazoa; Arthropoda; Insecta; Hemiptera; Aphididae
Source: the annotation of a GenBank genome assembly